GAUGAACGCUGGCGGCGUGCCUAGUACAUGCAAGUCGAGCGAACGGACGAGAAGCUUGCUUCUCUGAUGUUAGCGGCGGACGGGUGAGUAACACGUGGAUAACCUACCUAUAAGACUGGGAUAACUUCGGGAAACCGGAGCUAAUACCGGAUAAUAUUUUGAACCGCAUGGUUCAAAAGUGAAAGACGGUCUUGCUGUCACUUAUAGAUGGAUCCGCGCUGCAUUAGCUAGUUGGUAAGGUAACGGCUUACCAAGGCAACGAUGCAUAGCCGACCUGAGAGGGUGAUCGGCCACACUGGAACUGAGACACGGUCCAGACUCCUACGGGAGGCAGCAGUAGGGAAUCUUCCGCAAUGGGCGAAAGCCUGACGGAGCAACGCCGCGUGAGUGAUGAAGGUCUUCGGAUCGUAAAACUCUGUUAUUAGGGAAGAACAUAUGUGUAAGUAACUGUGCACAUCUUGACGGUACCUAACCAGAAAGCCACGGCUAACUACGUG
This 497-nucleotide ribosomal RNA is filed under the name uncultured bacterium. Its description in RNAcentral is "partial 16S ribosomal RNA". It matches the Rfam family "Bacterial small subunit ribosomal RNA", at positions 28 to 507 of the family's 1533-position model. The record is from RNAcentral.